AGAAAUUUAGUCCAUUGAGUUAAUCUACAAACCCUUCCUGCUCUGCUUCUGUCCAUGGUUGCCAUGUGACUGCCUGCCCGUGAUUGGGCUGUGGAGGAGAAAAUGUACUCAUGGUUGAACUCUGAUAUUUCAGUCUGGUUUAUAGUUUCACUUCUUCUGUUACAUUAAUAAGUUUCUGGUUUUCUUGCAUCAGUGUGUCAUGAGUUUGGUUAAUGUGAAACCAGUCCAUGGGAGCCCAGGGAUGCUAACGGUAUAAUUUCUGAGCACACUGUCGCACUUCUACCCGUGCAGACCUGGCUGGAGGAUGUCCGCCUUCCUCACUGAUUUCUCCAAACAACAGGGUCCUCUCUCACCCCCGGAUGUGAGGCUGGGAGCUCUAUGAGUUGGCCAGUCGGUGGCCAAGUCCACCAAUCAGAAAAUGAUGAAGUACCCGGAAGUGGGCUUAAUAGAAGAAAAGGGCUUCCAGGUAGUCCGAUGAGCUGUUCGAGUCCAUUUGUACGUUUUGGUUACUGAGACCCUCGAAUUCCCAUAUGAAUUGUAGCAGCAGCUAGCCAGUUACUGCAGAGGAGCCCACUGGGAUUGUGAUAGAGACCACGUUGAAUAUGUGGAUUGCUCUGUGGAGCACUGACAUUCCAAGAGCGCUGUCAUCUGAUCCAGGAAUGUGCGUGGUGUGUCUGUCCAGAGUUCUAUGUAUAGUUGGUUACAUUCUAUACAUGGAAAUUUCUCCAAAACUGCUUCCCACGUGUGUCCCAUGGCUCGGAAUGGGGUGGUUCUGCUCAUUGACGGGUGUUGGCCAGAAACCGAAAAUGACAUCCUCCAAGAAGCCUGGGAUUUGUCAGUUAUGUUUUGUCAGUGCUGAUGACUUCAGAAAAUGCUUUCACAGUUCCUCUCCAUCUGAGGCGGCAGCAUGCUCUCUUAGCAGCAUCAGGAGCUCAGGGCCACGGUGCCCUCACCUCCAGUGGCAUCCAUCCAGACACCAGCACUGACACUGGCCGUGCUCAGAACUGCCUCAGCCCUGAAGAUACAACUGACAAAUAGAAGGGGUCCACGCCCUGUUACAGCAGGUGCUCUCACUUUGUGGGUCCUUAUGUAACUGUGCGUUGUUAUUCAGGAUCGCCCAUUCUACAUUGUGUGAUGCUGCUGCCGUGUCUCCUAGUUAUUUAUUUAUGCUCCUCCGCUCAGAUGUAAGAAUAUCCUCUUUCGACUUCUUGAUGCAGCUCCUUAAUGAAGAUCUCGUGAAGGAAACUUAGUCAAAACCUGGGAGCAUUCCUAGGAGAGAAUUCAGCAGUGCAGCAUCCUCUCCGAGCUCUAUGAGUUGAUCGGCUUCCACCGCAAGUCCGCCUUCUUCAAGCGGGUGGCCCCCGUGCAGCGCGCGGCCCCAGGCAUCCCGGAGCCUGGCGGGAAGGCCUGCUACCGACUCCUUCUGCAGACGCUUCCUGGCUACAGUCUGUCGCUGGAUCUGCAGGACUUCAGCAAAGGUGUUGGAACUAAAACAUUGCUUCAGUCCCAUUAACCAUGCCUGGUUUGGGCCCUGCUGUCCUGUCUCAUCAGGGUGAAUUGUGAUUGUUUAGAACAGGGCUCAGCAGACUUUUUCUGUCAAGGGCUUGGGAGUAAGUAUUUCAGGGUCUGCAAACCUCCUGAUCUCUAGUGCGUCUGCUCAGCUCUGCUGUUCAGACGCCAGAGCAGCCGGACAUUCCACACACCCACAGAGUUUUAUUAACAGCUUUGGCUGGGGCUGGAUUCGGUGUAUGAACUGCAGUUUGUCCCCAGAGCUCCUCACUAUUGACGCCUCCACCAGAGCGUGCAUUUGCGACAAUGGGUGAACCUGCACUGACAAGUCAUCAUCACCCAGAGCCCAGACUUGACACUAGGAUUUACACUUGGUUGUGUGCACUCUGUGGGUUUGGACAGAUGUGCAAUGACAUGUAUCCACCGUCACAGCAUCAUACAGAGUAGUCUGUCUUAGUGACCUUAAAAUGCUCCGUGCUGCACCUCAUUCAUUGCUCCUUCCCCUCUAGCCUCUGACAGCCACUGAUCUUUUAGUCUCUGUGGUUUUGCCUUUCCCAGAACACCAUACAGUUGGAAUCAGACAGUUGCGGAACCUUCCCAGAUUGGCUUCUUUCACUUAGUAAUAAGCAUUUAAGGUUCCUCCAUGUCUUUCCAUGCCUUGAUAACUCAUUUCAUUUUAGCACCAAAUAAUAGUCCAUUUUCUGGCUGGACCACAGUUUAUCCAUUCACCUACUGAAGAACAGCUUAGUUGUUUCUGAGUUCUGGUGAUUAUGAAUAAAGCUGCUAUUAACAUCUGUAUGCAGAUUUCUGUGUGGACAUAAGUUUCCAUUUCAUCGAGUAAACACCAAGGAGCACAGUUGCCGGAUCAUAUGUUAGGAGUACGUUUAGUUUUGUAAAAAAUUGGCAGACCGUCUUCCAAAAUAUCUGGGCCAUUUUACAUUCCCACCAGCAAUGCAUGAGAAUUCCUGACGCUCCACAUCCUCACCAGCAUUCGGUGCUGUCAGUGUUCUGCUUUUUGGCAGUUCUGACAGGUGUGCAGUUGUACCUCGCUGUUUCAGUCUGCAUCCCCUUGAUGACAGAUGCUGUGGAGCAUCUUUCCAUAGACUUCUUUGGCAUGUAGAUUUCUUCUUUGAUGAGGUGUGUGUUCAGGCAUUUUGCUCAUUUUUUAAUCAGGUUGUUCAUCCUUCUUGUUGAGUUUAAAGAGAUUUUGGUAUAUUCUGGAUAUCAGCCCUUUAUCAAUGUGUCCCUGCCCUUCACCUGCAGCACCGGAGUUGUCCUUUGGGUCUCAGUGGAGUGUCAGCUCUUCAAAGAGGUUCCCUGUCUUCCCUCAGCCUAAAUACUGUCCUUGUAUUUUUCACUUUCAUUGACUCAUUUUGUUCUUUUUAAAUAGCAUUUCCCAUAAUUUGUAAGUACAUUAAAAAAAGGGCAAUGAUUGAACACCACCUCCCCCACCAGGCUGUGUGCCCUGUGAGAGCAGAGGCCCUGUCCCCACUCACCGUUUCCCAUGACAGCACAAGGCACAUGUCCAUGUAAAAGUGUGUAACGUGGGGCCAAACCUGAUGAGCAGCUAUGAUGACAUGUGUUGGCUUCCAUUUAUUGAGUAGACUUUGUUUCUGAUCUUAAUUAUUAAAUCAUACGAAUGAAACUUGUUUGUUUUGAAAAAUAAACAACAAAGCACACCUCCAUUUGAUUGGUAGUUUCCACUUAGCCUUCUGACCCAGGAGGGGAUGUUCACCAUCAUUUUGUGGAGGAGGUUGGGGAGGUAAAAUAAGAGAGUGAGAUUAAAUAAAGUAAAAAUGAUAACUA
Camelus dromedarius (Arabian camel) is the source of this 3315-nucleotide long non-coding RNA. RefSeq lists it as uncharacterized. NCBI's taxonomy places the organism in Eukaryota, Metazoa, Chordata, Mammalia, Artiodactyla, Camelidae. The record is from RefSeq and is a predicted model, not a curated record. The transcript is spliced from 6 exons.